CCUUUCCCGUUAGUGAACCUGCGGAGGGAUNNAUNACGCGAGUUUACAACUCCCAAACCCCUGUGAACAUACCAAUUGUUGCCUCGGCGGAUCAGCCCGCUCCCGGUAAAACGGGACGGCCCGCCAGAGGACCCCUAAACUCUGUUUCUAUAUGUAACUUUCUGAGUAAAACCAUAAAUAAAUCAAAACUUUCAACAACGGAUCUCUUGGUUCUGGCAUCGAUGAAGAACGCAGCAAAAUGCGAUAAGUAAUGUGAAUUGCAGAAUUCAGUGAAUCAUCGAAUCUUUGAACGCACAUUGCGCCCGCCAGUAUUCUGGCGGGCAUGCCUGUUCGAGCGUCAUUUCAACCCUCAAGCCCAGCUUGGUGUUGGGACUCGCGAGUCAAAUCGCGUUCCCCAAAUUGAUUGGCGGUCACGUCGAGCUUCCAUAGCGUAGUAGUAAAACCCUCGUUACUGGUAAUCGUCGCGGCCACGCCGUUAAACCCCAACUUCUGAAUGCUGAUCCAUCCGAUGGCACGNGUNACGUAAUAGCUACGCUNGCCGUG
Molecule: ribosomal RNA, 543 nt
Filed under: Fusarium proliferatum
Lineage: Eukaryota; Fungi; Ascomycota; Sordariomycetes; Hypocreales; Nectriaceae
Description: eukaryotic LSU rRNA
Rfam family: 5.8S ribosomal RNA (bases 187-340)
Source: RNAcentral